This is a small nuclear RNA of Camellia sinensis, 98 nucleotides long. The record is from RefSeq and is a predicted model, not a curated record. NCBI's taxonomy places the organism in Eukaryota, Viridiplantae, Streptophyta, Magnoliopsida, Ericales, Theaceae.
CUCAUCAGAGACAUGGUGAAAUUGGAAUGAUACAGAGAAGAUUAGCAUGCUCCUUCGUCAAGAUGACAAGCACAUAUCAAGAAAUGGUUCAAUUUUUA